AUUGAACGCUGGCGGCAGGCCUAACACAUGCAAGUCGAACGGUAACAGGAAGAAGCUUGCUUCUUUGCUGACGAGUGGCGGACGGGUGAGUAAUGUCUGGGAAACUGCCUGAUGGAGGGGGAUAACUACUGGAAACGGUAGCUAAUACCGCAUAACGUCGCAAGACCAAAGAGGGGGACCUUCUGGCCUCUUGCCAUCUGAUGUGCCCAGAUGGGAUUAGCUAGUAGGUGGGGUAACGGCUCACCUAGGCGACGAUCCCUAGCUGGUCUGAGAGGAUGAACAGCCACACUGGAACUGAGACACGGUCCAGACUCCUACGGGAGGCAGCAGUGGGGAAUAUUGCACAAUGGGCGCAAGCCUGAUGCAGCCAUGCCGCGUGUAUGAAGAAGGCCUUCGGGUUGUAAAGUACUUUCAGCGGGGAGGAAGGGAGUAAAGUUAAUACCUUUGCUCAUUGACGUUACCCGCAGAAGAAGCACCGGCUAACUCCGUG
Molecule: ribosomal RNA, 490 nt
Filed under: uncultured bacterium
Lineage: Bacteria
Description: partial 16S ribosomal RNA
Rfam family: Bacterial small subunit ribosomal RNA
Source: RNAcentral